UUACUAUUCUUAUCAACAGAAAUUAAUGAAAAUUGAGCUCAUUUAAACUGAAUACCAGAAAUGAUCAUUUCUGUGCACAUAAAACCUGGUCAUCGUAUGUGUUCAUGUCAUCUCUUUGUGGGUAUCUCUGUGCUAAAUUUGCUGAAAAAAUCUGAAUAUCAUUGUUUCCUUGAUUGGAUAGCCUUAAAACAAAGUUCAGAUGUUGCUCGAAGAUUGUGGCUUUCUGUGUAGGGGUUCCGCUCCAUGGGUCUGCUUGUGAAGAUGGGUUUGGAGAGAGGUGUUUGUUGGGAAUUCUUUGAUUCGUUUCUAUGCAGAAUGUGGGCACUUGGAUUAUGCCGGGAAGGUGUUUGAUGAAAUGCUUGAGAGAAACACUGUGUCGUGGACUAAGCAGAGAUGUUUGAAGCUGAGACUUGAAAACAAUCUUUAGGCUUCAAGCUUCAAGGUGCAAUAGCUGAUAAUAAUUCCAAGAUUUUUCAGUUUUGUUUUUCCUCUUUUUUUUCUCUGAUUCUGCAGGUACAUUUUUUUUUAUAUGGUUGAGAUUUGUUGAGAUUUUUAAGCUUUUAGUUCAUAGUGGUUUGUAACAGUUGGAAUUACCACAAUGGUAGUUGCAUAAACUAAUCAGCAUGUAUGGAUGGCAUUUGGGGUCACCAUACUGGCACCUUAAGAAAGAUGAGCAAGUACCUCUAGUUAUGUUAGCGAAGAACUUUGAUCUUAGCAAAGGGCUCCAUGGAUUGAUGGCAAUUUUAAUUUGUAUAUGUGUUAAAGUCGGACUGCAUGUAUUCCAUUGCAGUGAUCAAGUGGGAUGAGUGAUGAGACUAUUGUCUGCAGUCAUAGGAAGGAGGCUGCUGCAGGAAGGGUACAUAUGCACUGUGUAUUCAUCCACAAGUAUUUGUAUUCACGAAAACUUUACAAUAUUGAUCAACAGGGGUUGCUGAAUAGUUUUCAGCAGCAGUGAUCAAGUGGCAUGAUGAUGGAGCUUUCCUCUUAAGAGGCUGCUGCAGGAUGGCUACAUAUACCAUCAGGCUUAACCGAGUUCCAAAACUGAUCGAAUAUGGGACAUUUAGAAAAUGAUGAGAAGAGGAGGCAGAAUUUAAAGCUGAAACAAAAGAGGGACAAAAAGACUUGAAAGAACUUCAUUGGGCAUUCACAAAUUUCUAGCAUGAUGGUAUCGCUGCAGCAGAUGGUUAUAAUAUUUUGAUGCCUUCAAACAUACAGAUCACCCUUCCCUCUGAUGGUCCUUGAAAGUUUUGGUAGUAGUAUGCUUCAUCCACUGCGAAGAGUAGAUGCAUCAGAUCAUGUUCCAAUAAUGGGAUGGCAUGAAUGCGUUAUGCUGAAGCAAUUACAUAUGAGUUACAUUUUGUUCCUCUUUACCCUUUUCUUUCAUGCUCUUCAUUUUGGGGGGUUUGGUUGUGUAUGGAGUAACAUCUAAACUCUUUGCCUAAAGCUUUUGUAUUACUGAAAGUUUUAAAUAUCAAGUUUAAUUGUCUCA
Molecule: long non-coding RNA, 1489 nt
Organism: Rosa rugosa (rugosa rose)
Lineage: Eukaryota; Viridiplantae; Streptophyta; Magnoliopsida; Rosales; Rosaceae
Exons: 4
Source: RefSeq, a predicted model, not a curated record